This 253-nucleotide ribosomal RNA is filed under the name uncultured bacterium. RNAcentral describes it as "partial 16S ribosomal RNA". It matches the Rfam family "Bacterial small subunit ribosomal RNA", at positions 524 to 776 of the family's 1533-position model. The record is from RNAcentral.
UACGUAGGGGGCAAGCGUUGUCCGGAUUUACUGGGCGUAAAGAGCGUGUAGGCGGCCAAGCAGGUCCGUUGUGAAAACUGGAGGCUUAACCUCCAGACGUCGACGGAAACCGCGUGGCUAGAGUCCGGAAGAGGAGAGUGGAAUUCCUGGUGUAGCGGUGAAAUGCGCAGAUAUCAGGAAGAACACCAAUGGCUAAGGCAGCUCUCUGGGACGGUACUGACGCUGAGACGCGAAAGCGUGGGGAGCGAACAGG